UCUCCGUAGGUGAACCUGCGGAGGGAUCAUUAAGAAUUGAACAGCAGUGUCUGGCACUGUUGCCCAUUCUAACCCUUUGUGAACUACAACUCUGUUGCUUCGGGGGCGACCCUGCCUUCGUGCGAGGCGCCCCCGGAGGCUCAUCAAACACUGCAUCAUUGCGUCGGAGUCUUAAAGAAAUUUAAACAAAACUUUCAACAACGGAUCUCUUGGUUCCAGCAUCGAUGAAGAACGCAGC
This 238-nucleotide unclassified non-coding RNA is filed under the name uncultured fungus. RNAcentral's name for it is "sequence contains ITS1, 5.8S rRNA gene". The stretch from base 190 to 238 matches the Rfam family "5.8S ribosomal RNA", at positions 1 to 49 of the family's 154-position model. The record is from RNAcentral. Lineage: Eukaryota; Fungi.